CCUACGGGAGGCAGCAGUGAGGAAUAUUGGUCAAUGGACGAGAGUCUGAACCAGCCAAGUAGCGUGAAGGAUGACUGCCCUAUGGGUUGUAAACUUCUUUUAUAUGGGAAUAACAUGUUCCACGUGUGGGAUUUUGUAUGUACCAUAUGAAUAAAGAACGGCUAACUCCGGUCCAGCAACCGCGGUAAUACGGAGGGUCCGAGCGUUAUCCGGAUUUAUUGGGGUUAAAGGGAUCGUAGGGUGAUAGUUAAAUCCGGUGGGAAAGUUUGCGGGCCAACCGUAAAAGUGCAGUUGAAACUGGCAGUCUUGAGUACACGAGAGGUGUGCGGAAUGCGUGGUGUAGCGGUGAAAUGCAUAGAUAUCACGAAGAACUCCGAUUGCGAAGGCAGCUUACUGGACUGCAACUGACACUGAGGCUCGAAAGUGUGGGUAUCAAACAGGAUUAGAUACCCGAGUAGUC
Molecule: ribosomal RNA, 460 nt
Filed under: uncultured bacterium
Lineage: Bacteria
Description: partial 16S ribosomal RNA
Rfam family: Bacterial small subunit ribosomal RNA
Source: RNAcentral